AGCAGCUUGCAGACUACUCAUAGCCACCCCCUUCCCAAGGAGCCAUGAUGACAAGCCAUGACACAGCUAGGCAUGAAACAAGCACAUGCAUUUGUGUUAGGUCAAGACCGACAGAGUUUAGGUAAACCCAAUUUCAAGGAAAAAAAUCGAAAGCUGUAAAGGGCUCUCAACAUAACAGUGAAGAAUAACUACUCUGUGGUAGAUAUUCCAUACUUUUUCUCACAUAUAAUUUCUAAAUGACUGCAGUGGAUGCAAAGCCCAACAGAAUGGUCUAUGAAUCUACAAACUAAUGCAAUAGAGCUGAAGGAUGGAUGCAACAUGCAUUUGCAGGAGAGGGAUGGUCUUCUGAGUAAUUUAUCACAAGCCAAGGGCAAAGAAAACAUUUCCGGAGCACACUGGAAAAGGUGGACUAGAAGCCACAGACUUCGGAGGGCUCUCCCACUGCUUCUUUCUUGAUUCAUGAGAAUCUACAGAAAUGAGAAAACUGAAUACGUAACAAUGCCUAUUUUUCACAGGAGGGAGUGGAGGGAAACAGAAGGGAGGGGAAGAGGACAGU
Molecule: long non-coding RNA, 556 nt
Organism: Neopsephotus bourkii (Bourke's parrot)
Lineage: Eukaryota; Metazoa; Chordata; Aves; Psittaciformes; Psittacidae
Exons: 3
Source: RefSeq, a predicted model, not a curated record